RNAcentral lists this ribosomal RNA (525 nucleotides) under Fusarium proliferatum. RNAcentral describes it as "eukaryotic LSU rRNA". The stretch from base 144 to 297 matches the Rfam family "5.8S ribosomal RNA". The record is from RNAcentral. Lineage: Eukaryota; Fungi; Ascomycota; Sordariomycetes; Hypocreales; Nectriaceae.
GGAGUACACUCCCAACCCCUGUGAACAUACCAAUUGUUGCCUCGGCGGAUCAGCCCGCUCCCGGUAAAACGGGACGGCCCGCCAGAGGACCCCUAAACUCUGUUUCUAUAUGUAACUUCUGAGUAAAACCAUAAAUAAAUCAAAACUUUCAACAACGGAUCUCUUGGUUCUGGCAUCGAUGAAGAACGCAGCAAAAUGCGAUAAGUAAUGUGAAUUGCAGAAUUCAGUGAAUCAUCGAAUCUUUGAACGCACAUUGCGCCCGCCAGUAUUCUGGCGGGCAUGCCUGUUCGAGCGUCAUUUCAACCCUCAAGCCCUCGGGUUUGGUGUUGGGGAUCGGCGAGCCCUUGCGGCAAGCCGGCCCCGAAAUCUAGUGGCGGUCUCGCUGCAGCUUCCAUUGCGUAGUAGUAAAACCCUCGCAACUGGUACGCGGCGCGGCCAAGCCGUUAAACCCCCAACUUCUGAAUGUUGACCUCGGAUCAGGUAGGAAUACCCGCUGAACUUAAGCAUAUCAAUAGGCCGGAGGAA